This 949-nucleotide ribosomal RNA is filed under the name Leptosphaerulina miscanthi. RNAcentral describes it as "Leptosphaerulina sp. QC-2020a partial large subunit ribosomal RNA". It matches the Rfam family "Eukaryotic large subunit ribosomal RNA", at positions 79 to 1048 of the family's 3401-position model. The record is from RNAcentral. Lineage: Eukaryota; Fungi; Ascomycota; Dothideomycetes; Pleosporales; Didymellaceae.
CCUAGUAACGGCGAGUGAAGCGGCAACAGCUCAAAUUUGAAAUCUGGCGUCUUUGGCGUCCGAGUUGUAAUUUGCAGAGGGCGCUUUGGCAUUGGCAGCGGUCCAAGUUCCUUGGAACAGGACGUCACAGAGGGUGAGAAUCCCGUACGUGGUCGCUAGCCUUUACCGUGUAAAGCCCCUUCGACGAGUCGAGUUGUUUGGGAAUGCAGCUCUAAAUGGGAGGUAAAUUUCUUCUAAAGCUAAAUACUGGCCAGAGACCGAUAGCGCACAAGUAGAGUGAUCGAAAGAUGAAAAGCACUUUGGAAAGAGAGUUAAAAAGCACGUGAAAUUGUUGAAAGGGAAGCGCUUGCAGCCAGACUUGCCUGUAGUUGCUCAUCCGGGUUUCUACCCGGUGCACUCUUCUAUAGGCAGGCCAGCAUCAGUUUGGGCGGUUGGAUAAAGGUCUCUGUCAUGUACCUCCUUUCGGGGAGAACUUAUAGGGGAGACGACAUGCAACCAGCCUGGACUGAGGUCCGCGCAUCUGCUAGGAUGCUGGCGUAAUGGCUGUAAGCGGCCCGUCUUGAAACACGGACCAAGGAGUCUAACAUCUAUGCGAGUGUUUGGGUGUCAAGCCCGAGCGCGUAAUGAAAGUGAACGGAGGUGGGAACCUUUCGGGGUGCACCAUCGACCGAUCCUGAUGUCUUCGGAUGGAUUUGAGUAAGAGCAUAGCUGUUGGGACCCGAAAGAUGGUGAACUAUGCUUGAAUAGGGUGAAGCCAGAGGAAACUCUGGUGGAGGCUCGCAGCGGUUCUGACGUGCAAAUCGAUCGUCAAAUUUGGGCAUAGGGGCGAAAGACUAAUCGAACUAUCUAGUAGCUGGUUCCUGCCGAAGUUUCCCUCAGGAUAGCAGUAACGUUUUCAGUUUUAUGAGGUAAAGCGAAUGAUUAGAGGCAUGGGGGUUGAAACAACCUU